This 460-nucleotide ribosomal RNA is filed under the name uncultured bacterium. RNAcentral's name for it is "partial 16S ribosomal RNA". It matches the Rfam family "Bacterial small subunit ribosomal RNA", at positions 338 to 795 of the family's 1533-position model. The record is from RNAcentral.
CCUACGGGAGGCAGCAGUGAGGAAUAUUGGUCAAUGGUCGGAAGGCUGAACCAGCCAAGCCGCGUGAGGGACGAAGGUGCCAAGCAUUGUAAACUUCUUUUGUCAGGGGACAAAAUCAGGCUCGCGACCAUGACCGAGGGUACCUGCAGAAAAAGCAUCGGCUAACUCCGUGCCAGCAGCCGCGGUAAUACGGAGGAUGCGAGCGUUAUCCGGAUUUAUUGGGUUUAAAGGGUGCGUAGGCCGUAUGUCAAGUGUGCUGUGAAAGGCCCGGGCUCAACCCGGGCCUUGCCGCGCGAACUGGCGUGCUUGAGUCGGAGAAAAGCAGGCGGAAUUCGGCGUGUAGCGGUGAAAUGCGUAGAUAUGACGAAGAACCCCGAUUGCGAAGGCAGCUUGCUGCAGCGGAACUGACGCUGAUGCACGAAAGCGCGGGUAUCGAACAGGAUUAGAUACCCGUGUAGUC